RNAcentral lists this ribosomal RNA (370 nucleotides) under Bacillus cereus. RNAcentral describes it as "bacterial SSU rRNA". It matches the Rfam family "Bacterial small subunit ribosomal RNA", at positions 1 to 358 of the family's 1533-position model. Lineage: Bacteria; Bacillati; Bacillota; Bacilli; Caryophanales; Bacillaceae. The record is from RNAcentral.
UUUAUUGGAGAGUUUGAUCCUGGCUCAGGAUGAACGCUGGCGGCGUGCCUAAUACAUGCAAGUCGAGCGAAUGGAUUAAGAGCUUGCUCUUAUGAAGUUAGCGGCGGACGGGUGAGUAACACGUGGGUAACCUGCCCAUAAGACUGGGAUAACUCCGGGAAACCGGGGCUAAUACCGGAUAACAUUUUGAACCGCAUGGUUCGAAAUUGAAAGGCGGCUUCGGCUGUCACUUAUGGAUGGACCCGCGUCGCAUUAGCUAGUUGGUGAGGUAACGGCUCACCAAGGCAACGAUGCGUAGCCGACCUGAGAGGGUGAUCGGCCACACUGGGACUGAGACACGGCCCAGACUCCUACGGGAGGCAGCAGUAGG